CAAGUACUGAGAUGUGAGGAUCAUUUGUCACUGCUGCUGAGGCUGACCCAUCGGCUUAAUCCUUGGAGCCUUCCCUUUCCUUCAGGGAGCAGUGGGAGGAGCUCAGAGCCGGCACCAGGCUUUGACCUAUCCUUAGGAAUCUAGCUGGAGCGCUGGCUUGGAGGAGCACUAACACUGCACAGGAAGUGGCAUUUCCAGGAUUCUCUAAAGAAACAUACACAAGGCAGUUCGUUUACUCGUUCAACAAAUAUGUAUUGAGCACUUACUACGGAUUAGGAGCGAUGUAGCUAUGGAGGAAACAGCAAUGAACAAGCCCAAACCUCCCUCCUCGUGGGACUCAUAUUCAGAUGGUUGGAAGAGACUUGGGCUAAGUCUCUUCCGGGAGAAGCAAGCCUUUCAAAGACGUGCUCCAGUCUGGGUAAUGCGGGGCUUUGCUCUGCCAAAGAAGGCAUGCAGGUGUGGAGAGGAGCUGACCAGCUACUACCAGAGAGGAGACGCUGGAGGCACCCCAGAGAAGGGAAAACUGCUUAAACCUGAAAUGCAAGACUUUAGACCAUCCUGUAGGCACCUGGUAUCCAUCGUGUGGCUGCGGAAUACCUGACAGCUGCCCCCAGUGCGAAUCAGCAGACCAUUAACCUUUGCCACCUGACUGCAAGCUCUGAAGGUUAACUCCCCCUGUAUCCCCUUAUAAGAAGACCUCAGUCCCUGAGCUGGUGCCUCUCUGAGCUACUCAGCUCUGGGAGUGCUGUCUGGCCACACUAAUAAAGGUUUAUUUCAUUUUCCAACUUGUCCGGUGUGCUCCUUCCCGGGUGUUUCUUGCAGCUGUUGAGCUCCUUGGAGCGGUUGGUAAGGCUCUUGGUCCUACAAAAUGGGAGGAAGGGGCCUGGUUAUGUAGACGGUGGCUGGUGUAAGCGGGUUGGGGAAUGGCAUCAGCUGCACAGGCAGCCACUCAGGGGUCAUUAUUUGUAAUCUUAUACUUGUUAUCUUAUACUUUGAAGUUGUGGGUGGUGGGUACUGAGUCCCAGUGACAAAAAAGCAACUAAGACACCUUGUCAAAACUGGAUGACCUAAAUCUAGUAGCCCCAAAACAGCUCAAAGACUGAGAAACAAGAGAGCACAAGGUCUGAUGUUAGGAAACUUACCAGGGAUCUAAAUCUGAAGUCCUAUCAUGUUCCACAGUUUAUUUUUCUG
This 1191-nucleotide long non-coding RNA is filed under the name Fukomys damarensis (Damara mole-rat). RNAcentral's name for it is "lncRNA (ENSFDAG00000026486.1)". Lineage: Eukaryota; Metazoa; Chordata; Mammalia; Rodentia; Bathyergidae. The record is from RNAcentral.